GAUGAAGAACGUAGCGAAAUGCGAUAAGUAGUGUGAAUUGCAGAAUUCAGUGAAUCAUCGAAUCUUUGAACGCACAUUGCGCCCCUUGGUAUCCCGAGGGGCAUGCCUGUUCGAGCGUCAUUUCACCACUCAAGCCUGGCUUGGUGUUGGGCGACGUCCUCUUUGGGGACGCGCCUCGAAACGCUCGGCGGCGUGGCACCGGCUUUAAGCGUAGCAGAAUCUUUCGCUUUGGAAGUCGGGGCCCCGUCUGCCGGAAGACCUGCUCGCAAGGUUGACCUCGGAUCAGGCAGGGAUACCCGCUGAACUUAAGCAUAUCAAUAGCGGAGGA
This 328-nucleotide unclassified non-coding RNA is filed under the name soil metagenome. RNAcentral's name for it is "partial contains 5.8S ribosomal RNA, internal transcribed spacer 2, and large subunit ribosomal RNA". The stretch from base 1 to 120 matches the Rfam family "5.8S ribosomal RNA", at positions 35 to 154 of the family's 154-position model. The record is from RNAcentral.